GACGAACGCUGGCGGCGUGCUUAACACAUGCAAGUCGAACGGAAAGGCUCUUCUUUUGUGGGGUGCUCGAGUGGCUAACGUGUGAGUAACACGUGAGUUACCUGCCCUUCACUUUGGUAUAAUCUUAGGAAACUGGGUCUAAUACCGGAUAGGACCUCCGUCUGUAUGCUGUGGUUUGGAAAGUUUCGGCGUUUGGGGAUGUACUCGCGUCUUAUCUGUUUGUUGGUUGGGUAGUGGACUACCAAGGCUAUGACGGGUAGCCGGCCUGAGAGGGUGACCGGCAACAUUGGGACUGAGAUACGGCCAAGACUCAUACGGGAGGAAGCAGUGGGGAAUAUUGCACAAUGGGCGGAAGCCUGAUGCAGCGACGCCGCGUGCGGGAUGACGGCCUUCGGGUUGUAAACCGCUUUCGCUAGUGACGAAGCGAGAGUGACGGUAAUGGGUAAAGAAGCACCGGCUAACUACGUG
This 468-nucleotide ribosomal RNA is filed under the name uncultured bacterium. Its description in RNAcentral is "partial 16S ribosomal RNA". It matches the Rfam family "Bacterial small subunit ribosomal RNA", at positions 28 to 507 of the family's 1533-position model. The record is from RNAcentral.